AGAGACAGCAGCCGCCGCGGGAAUACGAAGGGGGCUAGCGUUGCUCGGAAUUACUGGGCGUAAAGGGAGCGUAGGCGGACAUUUAAGUCAGGGGUGAAAUCCCGGGGCUCAACCUCGGAAUUGCCUUUGAUACUGGGUGUCUUGAGUAUGAGAGAGGUAUGUGGAACUCCGAGUGUAGAGGUGAAAUUCGUAGAUAUUCGGAAGAACACCAGUGGCGAAGGCGACAUACUGGCUCAUUACUGACGCUGAGGCUCGAAAGCGUGGGGAGCAAACAGGAUUAGAUACCCGCGUAGUCCCUGUCUCUUAUAC
RNAcentral lists this ribosomal RNA (309 nucleotides) under uncultured bacterium. Its description in RNAcentral is "partial 16S ribosomal RNA". It matches the Rfam family "Bacterial small subunit ribosomal RNA", at positions 504 to 807 of the family's 1533-position model. The record is from RNAcentral.